UAUUGAGUCUCAGGUAAAUCAGCU
This 24-nucleotide non-coding RNA is filed under the name Arabidopsis thaliana (thale cress). The record is from RNAcentral. Lineage: Eukaryota; Viridiplantae; Streptophyta; Magnoliopsida; Brassicales; Brassicaceae.